Solanum dulcamara is the source of this 487-nucleotide long non-coding RNA. RefSeq lists it as uncharacterized. The record is from RefSeq and is a predicted model, not a curated record. The transcript has 3 exons. Lineage: Eukaryota; Viridiplantae; Streptophyta; Magnoliopsida; Solanales; Solanaceae.
UUUACGCCUAUUCUUUAGCCUCCUUGAUGGCAGUUUCUUGUUUUCAAUUUCAGUCCAUCUAUUACUCAAUUUCAAGAAUCCAAGUAAGUGUUGGUCUCACUCAGUUGAAUAAAAAUCAAGAAAAUCUUGAUUCACCGGACGAGGUUAGAUCCAAACAUCGUAACGAUCCAUCAGUGAUGGAUAAGCUCCGUGAGAAAUUGAAAUCAAAAUCUCAAGUUCAACAUUCACCCAAAGAAGCCAACAAGAAGAUUGAAGGAGUUUCAACACGCCCUUUUUUUUAAUGGAAUGAAGUACGUCAUCAAGAAGAUCCCCUCACACUCCCUAAGAUUCGGCACUGCAUAUACGACUAAUUUUAUUGAUGAUUUCAAAUCAUAAAUAAGUGAUGAAUCUAUACAAUUAUUUCGACAAAUCAUACUUGGUCACUAUCUAGAUAUGCCACAGUGCAAUUUUCAAGGGCAAAUCAUCAAAUGCCUCUUACUUCUUGAGG